This 3089-nucleotide long non-coding RNA is filed under the name Sus scrofa (pig). RNAcentral describes it as "lncRNA (ENSSSCG00000053294.1)". The record is from RNAcentral. Lineage: Eukaryota; Metazoa; Chordata; Mammalia; Artiodactyla; Suidae.
AACUCCCUAAAAAUUAAUGUAAAAAAAGUUUGGUGUGCUUUGAUUGAGAAAAGGUCUGUAGCUUUUACUGGAUUCUCAGAAGAAUCUGGGACUCACCCCCCUCCCCAAACUUAUGAACCACUGUAGUUAAAGACAUCUAAGUCUAGAGAACCAUUCCAAGGCAAUUCCCAGUUUCUACAAUCAUGCAGGCAGAAGAGCAGUGUGUGGCUGGAGUCCACUUCCCUUAAGAGUCCCUGGGCUGCUUCUAAGGUGCAAAUUCCUCAUCCCAUCUCAGACCUGCAGAAACAGAGUCUGAGGAACUGGGGCUGGAGAAUCUGGCAUUUGAACAAGUUCUCCAGGUGAUUUUUAUGGCUGCUAAAGUUUGAAAAUCCACUGAUGUGGUAGUAAAACCUGCCUUUGGAGUCAGAUCCCCAUGCUUGGACCCACUACGUACAGCUGUGGGAACCCAGGGCUAUUACUUCACUUUCCUCAUCUGCAGAAUGGGGAGAAUAAUCAUACCUCCUUCAUAAAACUUGUGUGAAUAGUGAAACAGGUAAUGUCUGUACAGUGUUAAGGGCUUAAUAUGUUAAUUACUCAGUAAAUGUUAGCUAAACUGAUGAUAAUGAUUGUUAACCAGGGUUAUUACUGUCAGUACUAUUGUUAGGAGGGUAGGAGCAAAUCGAAGGCCCUGACUCUGUGGGAAGUUAAUGGAUAGAGCCAUUAAGUGUUUACUUCAGUUACUUUUGUGAGUCAUCUGGUUUGACCACAUACUUGUCACUGAUCACUUCUGUACUAGGAAGACUACUGAAAUGAAUGCAUCAGUCAGAUUACAGGUAAUAGGAAUUUCCUGCUUUCUCUUUGUUUCCAAUUUCUUCCUAUAAGUAUGUAUUUUUUUUUAAAACUUUGUUUCAAAAGAGCCUUUUAUAUAUGACUUACUGAAAAAUAAUUUAUAGUUUGUUAUCUGUGGUAUUAUGGUCAAUUGUUUAAUUAAUUGGUCAGGAAUUUCAUCCCCUCUAUUAUGUUCCUUGAAAAACUAAAUUGUACUUAAAUUGCUUUGGCUUAAAGGGCCUUUUUCAGGAAUUGAAACAUAUUCUCAGUAGGAGGCCCAUUUGGGGAGGCAUGGCAUUCUUGUUGCUGGUAUUAGAAUUCUAGAGGAUGUUGCCUGAUCUUGGAACUAUUGCUGAACUUCAUGAAAGACUGGAAAAUUCAUUUGAGAGUCUCCUUCUGAAAGAGCUUACAAAGCAACUGAGAAAAUCUUAGACGAAAAUACUUUCACUCAUCUUCAAAAAGGCAAACUUAGGUUUAUUUUUUAAAAUAUGUUAGGCUUAUUUUUGAAAAGAUAAAUGAUUUUUUAAAAUCAGAACUAGUGCAUAUAACACAUCAUUGUUUAGAAUUAUAUGUAUAUAUAUUUCAUAUGUAUAAAUAUUUGGAUUAUAGAUUAAAAAUCACACAGUUCAAAUCAAGACCAGGAGCCAAGCCGAAUGAAAAAAGACAAAGUAUUAAUAAUGCUAUUUUCAGGCAUUGCAUCUUAGGCUUAGUACUGAUUGCUAACAUUUUUUUAACGAGUUUCCAAUGAGAGAAACAAGUGGCAAAAUCCUCUGGUGGCAGUAAACGACUCAGGUAAGAAAGACAUGCAGCAAAGAACAGCAAAACCAGGGACAUAAGCCAACCAGGAGGGACAACAUGCAAUUUAAUUUCAAAGCAAAUUCACUAUUCUCACUAGGAAUAUCUUAAGGAAACACAACUGUGUGAGGGUGAAUUAAAAGUUUUGGUAACUGGUGAGGAAAAAUAAAAGAUAGUAAAGUGGUAACAGAAGAAUCUACUGAGAAGAGUCUCCAUUUUGUUUUUCCUUUAAUCUUCUCUCAGACAAUGAAUUGACUUCAGGUUGCCCUUGGAGCUCUUAUCAAGUACUGCUCUUGGCUUUAUGCCCUUGGCUGGAUAUUGCGCGGCUUGAACUCUUUCUCCAGAUCGUACUCUGGCACCGUGAGGUUGUGUCCUGUCCAGACACUGUCAUGGCCCCAUUCACUCCAGGAACAUCUCAGUAGUGUGACUGGGUGUGGAGGAAACACCCAGGGGGUUUCAGGGAGGAGUUUAGGUGCCUUGGGCCAGUGAGAUGGUGGGUCAGCGUGGUCCAGCUGCACAAGCUGAUAGAUCCACUGUGUCCCCCAAGCAUUUCCUCAUGGAGAGCCAAAAUUUAAAACUACCAGGAGGAGGAAAAUGUGCUGAGCCUGUAAUCAAGCCAAGUUGGUCCAUGGUCAGCUGAGAAGAAAAUGGCCUAAUUGGAAGCUCAGGUCAUCUGUCUUCUUCAGAUCUAAUGUCAGUGACCAUACUGUCCACUGUGCCUGGAACUGAGGGAAUUUCCUCUGCUCCACGCUUGCCCCAAUCUCUAAGACCUCUCCCACUCUCUUAAUUUGUUAGCUCAGCAGCUACAGCCAAUCUUCACACUGCGGUACAUUCUGUUCUCUUGGUUUCCAGCCCUGUUCUCAUCUCCAGCUCCUAAUCUUCCAGUGUAGAACUUGAAAAUUGCUUCAUUGCCUCACUUGUGUAAACCUCCAGAAGAAAGUUGUCUCUGCAAGUCAGGCUUGCUUUCUUCUGACAUCUCAUUUUCUGGAUCUCUGUCUCGGACUUUCUCACAUAUGCGCAUUUAUCAUGUAUGCACUCCAUAUUUUCUCUGUCUUUGCUCUCUCCUUGUUUUUACAGACUUCCUUCUAUCUUUCAAACACACGUUUCCUGGUAACUAUAAUUAUUUCCCUUGUAUUAAUAAUAUGGUAUUAAUAAUUAUGGGUCCUAUUCCCAUGAUUGUCUUCUUUCAUUGCUUCAAUCCUUUUCCAACUUUGCUGAAAUUAUAUGAAGUUUCCUACAUGUAUAUGUGAAGUUAUAUACAUAUAUAUUAAAUAUAAUGAAAUUAAAAGGGAGAGUACCUUCUCUUCUGAACCAGAUGUCUCUGGGAAACUUGACCUUUCUUAGCUUUCUUGCUAUUAUGAGUGAUGUCCCUCAGUCCUGCGCAAACAGCAGUUGACAUAGUACCCCUUGGCCUGAAGGUUGAACUUAGCUGAUUGGUAUACUUGGUGGUUAUCAUGCUAGCUCUUGAAUGAUACAUGGACUUUAUU